This 445-nucleotide ribosomal RNA is filed under the name uncultured bacterium. Its description in RNAcentral is "partial 16S ribosomal RNA". It matches the Rfam family "Bacterial small subunit ribosomal RNA", at positions 354 to 796 of the family's 1533-position model. The record is from RNAcentral.
GUGAGGAAUAUUGGUCAAUGGGCGGGAGCCUGAACCAGCCAAGUCGCGUGAAGGAAGAAGGAUCUAUGGUUCGUAAACUUCUUUUGCAGGGGAAUAAAGUGCAGGACGUGUCCUGUUUUGUAUGUACUCUGCGAAUAAGGAUCGGCUAACUCCGUGCCAGCAGCCGCGGUAAUACGGAGGAUCCAAGCGUUAUCCGGAUUUAUUGGGUUUAAAGGGUGCGCAGGCGGGUUGAUAAGUCAGCGGUGAAAGUUUGCAGCUUAACUGUAAAAUUGCCGUUGAAACUGUCGAUCUUGAGUGCAAAUGAGGUAAGCGGAAUGUGUUGUGUAGCGGUGAAAUGCUUAGAUAUAACACAGAACACCGAUUGCGAAGGCAGCUUACUGGGAUGCAACUGACGCUCAUGCACGAAAGCGUGGGGAUCAAACAGGAUUAGAUACCCUAGUAGUCC